AUUGAACGCUGGCGGCAGGCCUAACACAUGCAAGUCGAACGAGUGGCGGACGGGUGAGUGAUGUCUGGGAAACUGCCCGUGGGAGGGGGAUAAAUACUGGAAAAGGUAGCUGAUACCGCAUACCAUCGGAUGUGCCCAGAUGGGGGUAGCUUGUAGGUGAGGGAACGGCUCACCUAGGCGAAGAUCCCUAGCUGGUCUGAGAGGAUGACCAGCCACACUGGAACGGAGCCACGGGCCAGAAUCCUACGGGAGGCAGCAGUGGGGAAUAUUGCACAAUGGGCGCAAGCCUGAUGCAGCCAUGCCGCGUGUAUGAAGAAGGCCUUCGGGUUGUAAAGUACUUUCAGCGGGGAGGCGUUACCCGCAGAAGAAGCACCGGCUAACUCCGUGCCAGCAGCCGCGGUAAUUC
RNAcentral lists this ribosomal RNA (406 nucleotides) under uncultured bacterium. RNAcentral describes it as "partial 16S ribosomal RNA". It matches the Rfam family "Bacterial small subunit ribosomal RNA", at positions 29 to 526 of the family's 1533-position model. The record is from RNAcentral.